This 24-nucleotide non-coding RNA is filed under the name Arabidopsis thaliana (thale cress). The record is from RNAcentral. Lineage: Eukaryota; Viridiplantae; Streptophyta; Magnoliopsida; Brassicales; Brassicaceae.
ACUCUGCUUCGUUAUUGGAGGCGU